AAUUUUCUCACCUUUCUCCUCUCACGCGGCGUCGGCGCUUCCUCUUUCGGGCGAAACGGAACCGGAGCUAGGGUUCUUCCUUCGGCGGGCGGCGAGGGGUUGUUCCGAGAGCUUCUCAUAUCUUCGGGACCGUCUCACCAAGGAGAACAAGAAGAUAGGGAGAGAUCGUCGAGAAAGCGAGUUUAUCCGAACCCUAGAGCUGCCUUUCUCCUUCGGUCGUGAGCUCAAGAAUGCACUAUAAAGGAAAAGAAAAGAUUUAGCAAGAAAGGCGACAAGGUGGUGCGGAUGGUGUGUGAUGCGUGGACUGUGGGAGAGAUCAGGGGAAUUGAGUCACACUUUAUGUUUUGUGUCAAUAGAGAUUGAUAAAGAGUUGUUUCUAUUUUUCUGAUGUUGCUAUUGAGUCUAUUCCGCAUUGUUUGUUUGGUUGUUUCCAUUGUUGGAGUUUUAUUCAUUUACCAUUGCUAGAUUAGUUUUUUUUAA
Long non-coding RNA from Zingiber officinale, 480 nucleotides. RefSeq lists it as uncharacterized. The transcript is spliced from 2 exons. The record is from RefSeq and is a predicted model, not a curated record. Lineage: Eukaryota; Viridiplantae; Streptophyta; Magnoliopsida; Zingiberales; Zingiberaceae.